AGAGAGCUUCCCUCUCCUGCCUGGCAGUCAUCUCGGCUCCCAGAUCAGCAGCGCUCAGCAACACCCUGUACCUCCAGGAGCACCUUCUCCCAGGAGUCCAGGAGGGGAGGUAGACUGUUCCAGUGCGUGCACAGAACCUCCCUGGGUAAGAGCUUCAGAAGCAGCUCACUGCUCCCCAAGAGGUGACGGAGACCAAAGGUAGAAGUGGACUUCGAGAGCUCCUGGAUGCGUUCAGCAACUGAAGACAGGAGGUUCUGAAGGGAAGAGGACUGGAAGCGAUGUGUUGGCUUCUAAACCGCUGGGGUAAAGGCCAGGUGGCCCAGGUCCAGCAGGGGCCUCCAACCACUUGCUGGUUCCCGACAGUGGGGGGGUCUUGCGGCCCUUUGCCUUAGCAUUUGCUGGUUCCUUGCCUAGAACACCCUUCCUCUUGCUUUUGGCCUCUAAGAUUCAACCUUCAUUGAAUAUUGGGUGGAUUUGA
This is a long non-coding RNA of Felis catus (domestic cat), 478 nucleotides long. RefSeq lists it as uncharacterized. The record is from RefSeq and is a predicted model, not a curated record. Lineage: Eukaryota; Metazoa; Chordata; Mammalia; Carnivora; Felidae. The transcript is spliced from 2 exons.